GAUGAACGCUAGCGGCAGGCUUAAUACAUGCAAGUCGUGGGGCAGCAUGUUCCGUAGCAAUACGGAAUGAUGGCGACCGGCAAACGGGUGCGGAACACGUACACAACCUUCCUUUAAGUGGGGAAUAGCCCGGGGAAACCCGGAUUAAUACCCCGUAACAUAAUGAAGUGGCAUCACUUUAUUAUAAAAGCUCCGGCGCUUUGAGAUGGGUGUGCGACUGAUUAGGCAGUUGGCGGGGUAACGGCCCACCAAACCUACGAUCAGUAACUG
Molecule: ribosomal RNA, 270 nt
Filed under: uncultured bacterium
Lineage: Bacteria
Description: partial 16S ribosomal RNA
Rfam family: Bacterial small subunit ribosomal RNA
Source: RNAcentral